GGGACUUCUGUAUGAGCUUUCCUAACGUUCGGUUGUGUGACAGUUCAGUGUGGAAGUGAUAAUUCAAAAAAAACGCAGGCGGCAAAAACAAAAUAGGAACUACAUAAUAGAGAAAAACAAGAAGAAGGACAAGGACCACAUAGGACCAAAAAAAAAAUAGAUCUGAAGUUGACAGGACACCUGGUUGUGCAUUGCCUUGAGCAAGACGCGCAUAACCAAUAACAUGUACUGGGUAAAUGAUUAAAAAAAAAUCGAAACCCAAAAAAAAAG
RNAcentral lists this long non-coding RNA (270 nucleotides) under Diabrotica virgifera virgifera (western corn rootworm). RNAcentral's name for it is "uncharacterized LOC126882997". Lineage: Eukaryota; Metazoa; Arthropoda; Insecta; Coleoptera; Chrysomelidae. The record is from RNAcentral.